This 443-nucleotide ribosomal RNA is filed under the name uncultured bacterium. RNAcentral's name for it is "partial 16S ribosomal RNA". It matches the Rfam family "Bacterial small subunit ribosomal RNA", at positions 338 to 795 of the family's 1533-position model. The record is from RNAcentral.
CCUACGGGUGACAGCAGUGGGGAAUAUUGGGCAAUGGGCGCAAGCCUGACCCAGCAACGCCGCGUGAAGGAAGAAGGCUUUCGGGUUGUAAACUUCUUUUCUCAGGGACGAAGCAAGUGACGGUACCUGAGGAAUAAGCCACGGCUAACUACGUGCCAGCAGCCGCGGUAAUACGUAGGUGGCAAGCGUUAUCCGGAUUUACUGGGUGUAAAGGGCGUGUAGGCGGGAAAGCAAGUCAGAUGUGAAAACCAUGGGCUCAACCUGUGGCCUGCAUUUGAAACUGUUUGUCUUGAGUACUGGGGAGGCAGACGGAAUUCCUAGUGUAGCGGUGAAAUGCGUAGAUAUUAGGAGGAACACCAGUGGCGAAGGCGGUCUGCUGGACAGCAACUGACGCUGAGGCGCGAAAGCGUGGGGAGCAAACAGGAUUAGAUACCCGAGUAGUC